GAUUCUCCUAGUAACGGCGAGUGAACGGAGAUUAGCCCAGCAUCGAAGCCUAUUCACUUUUGUGAACAGGGCAAUGUGAUGUUGAAGCGUGUACCUGUGAGUCGCUCAUCUACUCGAAGUCCAACUCCGAUUAUGGCAUUGGAUUUGUUCCAAAGAGGGUGAUAGACCCGUGCGAGUAGAUUUCUGUGCAUCUUUAGAGUGGCUCAUAGACGUGCAUGCUUUCGAGUCGGAUUGCUUGAGAAUGCAGUCCAAAGCGGGUGGUAAACUCCAUCCAAGGCUAAAUACUGGCACGAGUCCGAUAGUAAACAAGUACCGUGAGGGAAAGUUGAAAAGUACUCUGAAGAGAGAGUAAAUAGUACGUGAAGCUGCUUGUAAGGAAGCUGGUGGAGUCAAGCUUCAAGCCUGAAUGAUUGAUAACGAGAGUGUAUUGUAUAUGUGAGUGCUGGCUGGUGAGUCUGCAAAUGGCUCCAUGGGCUCUGUCCCAUGACAGGCGUUCUUGUGCGCGUGCCUGUGCUAGUCAAGCGUUCGCCUCUCUUAUAUCCUAUCAUCAGGCUGUCAUCAUGGUUGAUAUGGUCUCGGUGCAUGGCGUCCGAACUGUGCUCAUGUGGGUCUCUGAUCUGCUGGGCGCAGGGAGGCAGGUGGUUGUACUGUGCUUGCAUGGUCACAACGUAUACAUGGUCAUAUCCGGCCGAAUGUCAUGCUUUCUUUACUAUUGAGCCGUAUCAUUCAACUAUGCGCUCGUGUCCAUAUCCAUUGGUAGCGAGUGUAGAGAGCCAUGAUGUUGAAGUAGAUUUUCCACCCGACCCGUCUUGAAACACGGACCAAGGAGUUUAACAUGUGCGCAAGUCAAUGGGUCUGUAUGAAACCCAGAGGCGAAAUGAAAGUGAAUGAUCACCUUGUCGUGAUCUUAGGUGUGAUACGGGCUUGCCCAUACAAAGGCAGUCUGUCGCAACACCGGCCCGUCUCAAGAUGUAGUCACUUGGACCACGGUCACGAGUGCAUCAUCGAGGCGGAGCAAGAGCGUACAUGUUGAGACCCGAAAGAUGGUGAACUAUGCUUGCGUAGGUCGAAGCCAGAGGAAACUCUGGUGGAGGACCGUCGCGGUUUUGACGUGCAAAUCGAUCGUCAAACGUGAGCAUAGGGGCGAAAGACUAAUCGAACCAUCUAGUAGCUGGUUCCCUCCGAAGUUUCCCUCAGGAUAGCUGGCAAUCGCGUCGCUUUAACAGUUUUAUCCGAUAAAGCGAAUGAUUAGAGGUAUUGGGGACUAAUUGUCCUCAACCUAUUCUCAAACUAUAAAUGGGUACGAUGCUGAACUCGCUUAAUUGGAGUUUUGCAUUGAAUGUGAUUGCCAAGUGGGCCAUUUUUGGUAAGCAGAACUGGCGCUGUGGGAUGCUCCGAACGUGCAGUUAAGGUGCCCAAUGUGGACGCUCAUGAGAUACCAAAAAAGGUGUUAAUGCAUCUAGACAGCAGGACGGUGGCCAUGAAAGUCGGAAACCGCUAAGGAG
This 1505-nucleotide ribosomal RNA is filed under the name Urocleidoides digitabulum. RNAcentral's name for it is "Urocleidoides sp. d ACZ-2020 partial large subunit ribosomal RNA". It matches the Rfam family "Eukaryotic large subunit ribosomal RNA", at positions 73 to 1278 of the family's 3401-position model. Lineage: Eukaryota; Metazoa; Platyhelminthes; Monogenea; Dactylogyridea; Dactylogyridae. The record is from RNAcentral.